AACGAACGCUGGCGGCAUGCCUAACACAUGCAAGUCGAACGAGACCUUCGGGUCUAGUGGCGCACGGGUGCGUAACGCGUGGGAACCUGCCCUUAGGUUCGGAAUAACUCCCCGAAAGGGGUGCUAAUACCGGAUAAUGUCUUCGGACCAAAGAUUUAUCGCCUUUGGAUGGGCCCGCGUUGGAUUAGCUAGUUGGUAGGGUAAAAGCCUACCACGGCGACGAUCCAUAGCUGGUCUGAGAGGAUGAUCAGCCACACUGGGACUGAGACACGGCCCAGACUCCUACGGGAGGCAGCAGUGGGGAAUAUUGGACAAUGGGCGAAAUCCUGAUCCAGCAAUGCCGCGUGAGUGAUGAAGUCCUUAGGGUCGUAAAGCUCUUUUACCCGGGAUGAUAAUGACAGUACCGGGAGAAUAAGCUCCGGCUAACUCCGUG
RNAcentral lists this ribosomal RNA (433 nucleotides) under uncultured bacterium. RNAcentral describes it as "partial 16S ribosomal RNA". It matches the Rfam family "Bacterial small subunit ribosomal RNA", at positions 29 to 507 of the family's 1533-position model. The record is from RNAcentral.